AAAAAAACAAAAGAUUUUUAAUUGGUUUUAAUAUGGAAGAACAACAUUGUUUUUAAUUUAAUUACUUUAUAUUUCUAAUUAAUGAUUGAGUUUUGAUUAUAUUGAUUCAAUUGGGCCAGGUGGCUAAUUUCAAUCCUAAACUUUUUUCAUCAUCACAUUAGCCACCUCACAUAUAAAAUUUCUUAUUGUGCACCAAAAAAAAAAAUAAAGAUUCUUACAAAAUAAAUAAAUCUAACUAAAAAAAAUAUUAUUGACUCAAGGUCCCUAAACUUACACUGAUUAAGCAAGGUCUCUCAAUUUAAAUAUGGUGGUUGAGGGAUCAAAAAUACACAGUUGAAAAUUAAGGGACUACAAGUGCACAAAUACGAAACUUUAGGGACCGUAUUUGUGCUUUACUCUUACUUUAAUCCGCCUCCGUUGAAAAUGGGCAGUUGCGAUAAUACAGCAAACCCUAAGACAGAUACUUCCUCAGUGCUCCAGAUUAUUCUUCUCGGAGAAUAAAGCUCUGCGAAAACGGGAUGUGUAACAGUGUUGAAAACUGCUCUGAAGAGCUGGCCUAUCCGUUCCAUUGAGUUAUGGCAUGAGGUGGUAUUUUGGUGAGGGAGGCUCAUGAGAGACUUAAGCCAAUGGGCACUGUGUUUGUAAGACUGGUUCGGUCGCUCGGAUAUUGCUUGGAUCAAACCGCUUGCAACUGCACAGUUCCGAAGUGGAAGGUUAAGUGGGUAACUACUACGGAGUAACUAGCUAUUGUUGAGUAUUUUCAGAGGUCUUGGCCUGCACAGGUCUGUUGUCAAAUUCAGAACAACGUUUAUAUCAUUGUAUAGUCUGUAGAGGCAAACAUAUAUUCUGGAAUUUCAAUGAAUGAUUAUGAUCACUGGUUUCUUGGGUCUUCUGUGUAGAAAUCUGUUCUUUUCAAUGGGGUGAUAAUAUAUGCUGUGCUUAAUUAUUGGCUUAAAUCUUAUAUAUGCUUGCCUUCUGUCAUUUUAUAGCAUUUUCGAGACUUUGUGAUGCAUUUGUGAAAAUUUUCAAAAUGCCUUAUUAGUUUAAAAAAAAAUAAGUGAAUGUUACCAUAUGUCUGUUAUGAUAACAAGCAUUAGGUUUAAAGGAUUAGUAAAAGUAUCAAUAGUUGCUAUGUACUGGUAACAUAUGGAAGGAUUAGGGUCAUUUGUGGGAAACAGCCUCUAUGGAUUUCCACUGGUAGCCUUAACCUAAUUUGCAUAAAUACAUUAUACGGAGUAAUAGAAUAACGCCUUAUUUGGUUUGAUGUAAAAUAUUUUCAUAGAAAAUGAUUUUCCCAUUUUCCUUUAUUUGGUUGUGAAGGGGCGGAAAAUAAUUUUCCCAAUGGUGGAAAGCAUUUUCUUUUACAAAACAAGAGAAGCCAACUUUGCCUCCCCUUUUCCUUACCUCCUUUUUACUUUCCUCUCUUCCAUCCUUACACUUCCAAACCUAUAUUUUUUUAUUUCUCUAUAACUUUUCUUGAUGGUACCAAACAAAGGAAACUAAUUUGCAAUUUUGGUUUUCCUUGAAAAUGUUUUCCAUGAAAACUAAUUUUCCAUUGAAGAUAUUUUACAUCAAACCAAACGGGGCCUAAAUGAAAAAUUGUUGAUGUAAAUUUUAUUGAUGAGCUAUUAAAUUCUCAGGUCGAUUUGAUUUGUUCGAGUAAAGAAAUUUUCGACUCAGCUUGGCUUGGGUUGAAUCUUUACUUUGCUUGAUCUGAUUGUUUGAAGGCUACCAGUGGACUGCUUGAUCUAGGGUAAUGCACAGUUAAUCAAACUCCUGUUUGAUUAGUAGGAUCACCAUUAAUUCAAAGUCUAGUAAAACCAUUGGUAAUGAAGCACAAAGCCCACUUCAUUUGUUGUAUAAAGUGCGUAGCAGCAUAGUAUGACUGAGAAAUUGUAGUCAACUAGUCACCUAGGAAUCCAUAAUAAUGCCUCUCGAAGAUUAUAAAUUACCUCUUUAAAUAUGUCUACAAAAAGAAUGGCUGAUGCAAUGAUGAUUCAUCAGUAAGAUGUAAGAUGUAAUCUGUAAUCACUUGGGGCUUUUUUUUUUUUUUUUUUUUUGGUGUUUAGAGAGCCACAAGGAUGAGUGACGAUAAUCGAUUUUAGGUUCACCUGGAACCAUGAAGAGGGGCUUUGGUUUGUUUUAUGUGUACAUUUACCUUCAUAUAUGUAUCUAUGCACAAGUACUUAUAUUUAUUUAUUUAUUUUUUCUAUAAAAGCUCUUUGUGCUUUGUCAGAAUGGUAAUUUGGUUUUGGCUGUGAUUAUAAUGUUUUGAUUUGUAAGGAUUAACACAGUAUCAUGUAUAAUACAAAAAAGAAUAGCCAGGCUGUAUGUGUUUUUGUGCAUAUUUUUUUUUUUCUUGAUGUGAUUUAGUUCUCUAUUACAAACCUUUGGAUGAUAUACUCCUAAUACAUUUAUAUGGAGAAGAAACUGAUUAGUUUUUGUUGAGACGAAGUCAUAGAUUUGUAGUUUUGCAUCUGAAGACAAUUUUGAUGCAGAAGCACUAUGAUAGAACAAAGGGCAAAAUUCUAUUUACAUUUCAUGUUUACGCUAGCUAGGUUUGAUUAUAAGCAUAGCUCCUUGACCCUUCAAAUAUUCGUUUUGUCUAAUACAAAUGAUGAAAGGAUGUAUAAGUGCACUACAAUACUACAUCACAUCUUAAUCCUCUGAUUAUUUUGCCUUGGAUCCAUUUUGGUCUGAUUGGAGAAUAUAGGAUUUUCAAAGAAAUUUGUUGCUCAAAUAACAGCUAAACAUACAUACGCUGCUCUAUCUGCAGUGUUGUGACCUUUUCUAAUAUUCGCUGCAGUUUUUGUUUAAGGUUGGGCUAUCUCUCUGGUAUGCAAAGGAAGGAGGUUCAUCCUAGGUGCUUGAGAAAUUUUCUGGCAUAACCUUGCCCAAUGAAAAAUCAGUCCUAGUCCUAUUAUGGCGUACAUGGUAUAGAGAGUGUGGUGUUGGGCUGAGCUAGGGAAGAGGAGGGACCCUAGAGAUGUCAAUGUCAGUGCCCCAAAUAUAAUCAUCAUUUCUUGACAAAUCUCUUGGUAAGGCUUAGUUUUUGGUGGUGAUGAUGGUAAGGGUAUUGUUGAGGGCAGAGAUGGCGAUGGCGUAGACAUCAAUGAUAGUGGUGGUUGCGACGAUGAAGGUGAUGUUGGUGGGGGAGUGGAUGACACAGAGGUUGUCAAUGGUGGUGAUGGUCUUAAGCAAGCAGCGUAGGCCCAACAAUAUAGCAAAAGCCAAACAAUAGAGACUAGAAUAGUGUUAGGGUUAGUGGAAAAGGGGGAAAUUGCAUGAUCACCUUGACUUUUCAACUGAAGCAAGCUAAGAAAGAAUGUGGAUAUGAAGAUAAAGAUGGUGUUUAAGGCCUUUGGAUUGAACAAUUUUGGCUCAAUAAAUGGUGUUUGUUGAUGCCCUUGAUGGACGUUGUUGGGAGUCAUGUGGAAGUUGCAAAUUACUAUCUGCUGGAAAUUUGGCCGGUUUUGACCACUUAUUUGCUCCAUCUUAGACUGAAAGGGUUGCUGUAGGAAAAGAGUGGGAGAUUGUUGAUGUUGGUUUUAUGACGCUUUUUUCUUUAGGGGGUAGAUUUUAUAUGUUAUGUGACUUGUUAUAUUAGGCGUCAAUGUGACACCUUUCAAAAAAAAAAAAGGCGUCAAAUGUACUGAUAGUCUGAUAUAGUCUAGUUUAAUUCCAAAAAUUCGGCUACUAAAAAUUCAAGUUGCUCAAAAAAAAAAAAAAAAAAUUCAAAAAGGCCACUAAAAAUUCGAGUUGAUAAAAAAAAAAAAACAAAAAAAUUUCCAAAAAGUCCAAGCUUGAAGCUUCCGGAAGAGUGUCCUUCCACCUCAUGAUACGGGAUAACGGAUUAACGGGAAGAGUGUAGUUGAGUUGACUACUUGUUAGUUGUUACCUUACCAAGUUACCAUAGUAUGCCGACUUGGGCCUUCGUUUAGAGAGAGCCUUUUCAUUGAAAAUCCAAAUUCAUUGGCAAAUAAAUAUAGACUUGGGCCUAUUGCCUUGGUCCAUCUUAGGAAAUAAGAGCGAUCUAUUUGAUGAUUCUAUGUACUUAAAUCUUAACCAAGCAACAAGAUUAACUAACUUGUUCAUCUACUAGUUUGGAUAAUUAUAAAUGCGAGGAAAUUUUGAUUUUUACCACCUUCAAAUAACGACUUUAUUGAAUUUACCACCUCCAAAAAAAAAAGAUUUACUUUACCACCUCAUAAAAAAAUUAAACAUCAGUUUUCCCACCUAAGCCUAACUUCGGUGACGGAAACCGCCAAAGGGGCCCGCCAUAACAGCUAGUUUUUGAAAUUAUCCCCAAAUUCUCCCGAUUUCCCAUUGAUUUAAACCUAACUUCUUCAUUUCUACAUCUAUUUCGUGAAGAUUGAAGUUUUUUUUUGCCAUUUUCUUCACAAAUUCUGAUUUUGGGUGAUCCUUAACAAUCCCACAUCCUCAAAUUAUCAAAUUAUUGAAGAUUGUACUCGGCCCUGAAUCAAUUGAACUGUUCGACGACAAACAGCGAAAAGGUUCAGGAAACAGAAAUUGAAGCAGCUCAGGUACGAGUAAUUGUUGUUGCUCAUCCACGGAUUCGGUAUUUAUAAGAUCAAACACGUUUUUGUUUGCAAUCCUUAAGCCAUUAAGGAUACAAAUCAGACCAAAAACCAAGCUAUAAGCAAAUUAUAAGAUGAACUUUGGCUCAUUUACUACCCAAAUUAAGGAUUUGUAAAGAAAAUUGCAAAAAAAAAAAACUUCAAUCUUCAACAAUUUGAUGUGGAGAUGAAGAAGGUUGUUUAAAUAGGAGGAAAAUCGAGAGAAUUUGGGGAUAAUUUCAAAAACUAGCUGUUAUGGCGGGCCCCACUGGUGGUUUCCGUCACCAGAGUUAGGCUUAGGUGGGAAAACUAAUGUUUAAUUUUUUUUAUAAGGUGGUAAAGUAAAUCUUUUUUUUUUGGAGGUGGUAAAUUCAAUAAAGUUGUUAUUUGAAGGUGGUAAAAAUCAAAAUUUCCUAAAUGCGAAGCAGAAAGGAAAAUUUGUCAAAAGGAUCCUUUUUAAGUAGACUUUUUAUGUGAGAAGGGUUAUUUUAUUUAAAAAGUUAACAAAUUGAAACCUUACAUGAAUUUAUUUUCGUGAAAAGGGACCGGAUGAAUUCAAGCUUUCACUUGAUUUAUUUGGUGUUGACCCUCGUAUGCAGAGCAUGUUGCCUCGUUUUUAUCUCUUUAUCACCUCCCCAACUAUCAUGUUAACUAUCAUCCCACGAUUAGCCCACCACCACUCACCCGUCACC
Molecule: long non-coding RNA, 5269 nt
Organism: Chenopodium quinoa (quinoa)
Lineage: Eukaryota; Viridiplantae; Streptophyta; Magnoliopsida; Caryophyllales; Amaranthaceae
Exons: 3
Source: RefSeq, a predicted model, not a curated record